GCUUAAGAGAGCUUCAUGAUUAUGAAUAUAAUAUAUCCUUAAACCAUCAUGAAGCUGUGGAAGACACCACAGUAGUACAUAACUCCCUGAGAAACAGAAGUGGUUUAGCCUUUCAGCUGAUGAUGAUGAAGUGGAUGUUGUUCUCAUUAUUCCUGCCUCAGGAUGUGGUGGACCACCAUCUGCAGAUGCCGUCAGGUUUAUCAAUCACAAAGAGGGAAACAGGCAUCUGAAAGUGGCUGGCAAUCAAGAAUACUACAGGAAGCUUGCUUUUGGAAGGACAUAUAUUCUUACCUGGUUCCUAUUUCCUUAUGAAUUUUCUUGGCUUAAUGCAUUUAGUUUUAUAAUUUGUGUUCUGCUCCCACCACUAAUUUAU
This is a long non-coding RNA of Canis lupus familiaris (dog), 373 nucleotides long. RefSeq lists it as uncharacterized. The record is from RefSeq and is a predicted model, not a curated record. The transcript has 3 exons. Lineage: Eukaryota; Metazoa; Chordata; Mammalia; Carnivora; Canidae.